Molecule: ribosomal RNA, 252 nt
Filed under: uncultured Bacteroidales bacterium
Lineage: Bacteria; Pseudomonadati; Bacteroidota; Bacteroidia; Bacteroidales
Description: partial 16S ribosomal RNA
Rfam family: Bacterial small subunit ribosomal RNA
Source: RNAcentral
UACGGAGGGCGCGAGCGUUAUCCGGAUUUAUUGGGUUUAAAGGGUGCGCAGGCGGCGUGUCAAGCAAGCGGUAAAAUAGCGGGGCUCAACCCCGUCGAGCCGUUUGAACUGGCGCGCUUGAGUUCAGGCGAGGUAGGCGGAAUUCGUGGUGUAGCGGUGAAAUGCAUAGAUAUCACGAAGAACGCCGAUUGCGAAGGCAGCUUACCGGCGCUCAACUGACGCUGAGGCACGAAAGUGCGGGUAUCGAACAGG